RNAcentral lists this ribosomal RNA (301 nucleotides) under uncultured bacterium. Its description in RNAcentral is "partial 16S ribosomal RNA". It matches the Rfam family "Bacterial small subunit ribosomal RNA", at positions 509 to 807 of the family's 1533-position model. The record is from RNAcentral.
CAGUAGCCACGGUAAUACGAAGGGGGCUAGCGUUGUUCGGAAUUACUGGGCGUAAAGCGCACGUAGGCGGAUACUUAAGUCAGGGGUGAAAUCCCGGGGCUCAACCCCGGAACUGCCUUUGAUACUGGGUAUCUCGAGUCCGGAAGAGGUGAGUGGAAUUCCGAGUGUAGAGGUGAAAUUCGUAGAUAUUCGGAGGAACACCAGUGGCGAAGGCGGCUCACUGGUCCGGUACUGACGCUGAGGUGCGAAAGCGUGGGGAGCAAACAGGAUUAGAGACCCCGGUAGUCCCUGUCUCUUAUAC